This is a long non-coding RNA of Vidua chalybeata, 1281 nucleotides long. RefSeq lists it as uncharacterized. Lineage: Eukaryota; Metazoa; Chordata; Aves; Passeriformes; Viduidae. The record is from RefSeq and is a predicted model, not a curated record. The transcript is spliced from 3 exons.
UGUCACUUAGUUUAGAAGACUCAGCUGGUCUGGAGUUAGAAAGGGACCUUCAGCCUGUAAGUGCUCAAAAAUGUGAGUUCCAAGUGACAUCAACACUGGCCUGAACAUAAAUGAGGAUAAAAUCCCUAGGUCUCCAGUGAAAGUGAAAAAAAAGACUCAUGAGAUUUGAAAUUUCAUCCUUUUCACCACUUGAAGGAGCACUCAAAGUUAGUGCAAGACCCUUCAUGCUGGCCUGGGCCAAACAGGUGUGUCCAACAAAGUUCAAACAGAAAUCCAAACCCCCAAACCCAAUCUCUAUGACCUCACAACACAAAAUUGUCCCCAUCUACGCAGAGUCCCAUAACCUCAUAAAUAAACCAGGGUUUGUUCUACACAGGCACCAGAUCCCAUGGGGAUCAGUGCAAAAUUCCAUAUGGCAUCUGCAGAUUCGGUGUGGGAAAGUCCCGUUUCUGCAAAGCAGAAAUCCUCUUCCUGACUGGUGCAUUCUUCCUGAGAUCCACCAAGAGAGCUUCACUGAACACUCUGCCAGACUCGCCUCAUUGAUGCCAGCCCUGUGUACUCUCCAGGAAUGUUGAGACGCUCCUUCUUUUCCAGAGACCAGUCCCCUCAGCUGGGAUUAUGCUGAGGCAUUUCCACCAAAGGCCCCCUGCACAACAUCAGAGGUUAAUAAACCAUAAGGUUACAAAGUGUGCACUGCUGACACAUCUCUGGGUGGAGAUCUCGUUCUUUUGACUGCUUUCUGUGUCCAGGCCAAGCCAUCCAUCAGAGGAGGUUUGCAGGAUCCCUGUUUGGUGCUGUCACAGACCCUUUAAAGCAUUGCCUUGAUGUUGCUUGAUCUCCAGGGAACAGCCUGUGGGAGUUGUUUUCAGCAGGAAGUUCCCUCACGAAGCCCUGGCAGGAAAUGUUACUUUCCCAGUCCUGGGACAAGUCUGUUGGGUUUUAUCCCUGUUGAUAAACCAAAACACACCAGAACAUGAGCACAGCCACCAGAUCUUGUUCAUCCUCUGCUUCAAUUACCAGCACAGCCCUUGGCACAUUUUUAGCUCCCGGCAGCCAACACCAAGACAAACAAUUCCCAUGCUUGGCUCAGGUGAUGGCAAGAACAAUUCCCACCAAGCACUCUGGGCCACCCUGUGUCAGAGGCUGGGACAGAACUUAGCAGUCAACAGAAUUAGGCUUGGCUUAGUUGCUGAUUUCUGGGUGCAGGGUCCAAAUCUCCCCCAGAACUGUGCUAAAGAAAAAGUGAUCCUUGUGGUCGCUCUCCAAAGCAAACAGUGGAAC